Molecule: transfer RNA, 77 nt
Filed under: Lachnellula occidentalis
Lineage: Eukaryota; Fungi; Ascomycota; Leotiomycetes; Helotiales; Lachnaceae
Description: tRNA-Thr
Rfam family: tRNA
About the family: Transfer RNA (tRNA) molecules are approximately 80 nucleotides in length. Their secondary structure includes four short double-helical elements and three loops (D, anti-codon, and T loops).
Source: RNAcentral
GCCCUCGUAGCUCAAUGGUAGAGCGCGUCACUAGUAAUGACGAGGUUGCCGGGUAUGUUCAACAUCAUUCGAUGAUA